AGUGAACGCUGGCGGUAGGCCUAACACAUGCAAGUCGAACGGCAGCACAGUAAGAUCUUGCUCUUACUGGUGGCGAGUGGCGGACGGGUGAGGAAUACAUCGGAAUCUACUUUUUCGGGGGGGAUAACGUAGGGAAACUUACGCUAAUACCGCAUACUACCUACGGGUGAAAGCAGGGGAUCUUCGGACCUUGCGCGAUUGAAUGAGCCGAUGUCGGAUUAGCUAGUUGGCGGGGUAAAGGCCCACCAAGGCGACGAUCCGUAGCUGGUCUGAGAGGAUGAUCAGCCACACUGGAACUGAGACACGGUCCAGACUCCUACGGGAGGCAGCAGUGGGGAAUCUUGGGCAAUGGGCGCAAGCCUGAUCCAGCCAUACCGCGUGGGUGAAGAAGGCCUUCGGGUUGUAAAGCCCUUUUGUUGGGAAAGAAAAGCAGCAGGUUAAUACCCCACUGUUCUGACGGUACCCAAAGAAUAAGCACCGGCUAACUUCGUG
Molecule: ribosomal RNA, 492 nt
Filed under: uncultured bacterium
Lineage: Bacteria
Description: partial 16S ribosomal RNA
Rfam family: Bacterial small subunit ribosomal RNA
Source: RNAcentral